AUUGAACGCUGGCGGCAGGCCUAACACAUGCAAGUCGAGCGGACGAAUGGAGCUCUCUCCCGGCUGCAGCUGCGGACGGGUGGGUAAUUCCCACGUAUCUGCCCUAUCUAUGGGGAUAACGUCCGUACACGGGCGCUAAUAUCGCAUCGGUCCAUAUGUUGAAAGUGGUGGUUCUUUGGAGCUCGCGGUAUUAGAUGAGCCUAGGACGGAUUAGCUAGUUGGUUGGGUAAAGGCCUACCAAGGCGACGAUCCGUAACUGGUCUGAGAGGAUGAUCAGUCACACUGGAACUGAGACACGGUCCAGACUCUUACGGGAGGCAGCAGUGGGGAAUAUUGGACAAUGGGCGAAAGCCUGAUCCAGCAAUGCCGCGUGAGUGAUGAAGGUCUUCGGAUUGUAAAGCACUGUUAGUUGGGAGGAAGAACAGUAAGUUAAUACCUGGCUGUUUUGACGUUACCAACAGAAAAAGCAACGGCUAACUUCGUG
Molecule: ribosomal RNA, 484 nt
Filed under: uncultured bacterium
Lineage: Bacteria
Description: partial 16S ribosomal RNA
Rfam family: Bacterial small subunit ribosomal RNA
Source: RNAcentral